GGACGGAUAGCCAAGCGGUUAGGCACUGGUUUGCAAAACCACGAAGGCGGGUUCGACUCCCGCUCCGUCCUCCA
This 74-nucleotide transfer RNA is filed under the name bacterium. RNAcentral describes it as "tRNA-Cys". It matches the Rfam family "tRNA". From Rfam's summary of the family: Transfer RNA (tRNA) molecules are approximately 80 nucleotides in length. Their secondary structure includes four short double-helical elements and three loops (D, anti-codon, and T loops). Further hydrogen bonds mediate the characteristic L-shaped molecular structure. tRNAs have two regions of fundamental functional importance: the anti-codon, which is responsible for specific mRNA codon recognition, and the 3' end, to which the tRNAs corresponding amino acid is attached (by aminoacyl-tRNA synthetases). tRNAs cope with the degeneracy of the genetic code in two manners: having more than one tRNA (with a specific anti-codon) for a particular amino acid; and 'wobble' base-pairing, i.e. permitting non-standard base-pairing at the 3rd anti-codon position. RNAcentral also lists the same sequence under 2 other names. The record is from RNAcentral.